Molecule: ribosomal RNA, 593 nt
Filed under: uncultured bacterium
Lineage: Bacteria
Description: bacterial SSU rRNA
Rfam family: Bacterial small subunit ribosomal RNA
Source: RNAcentral
GAAAGGGAGAGUAACGCGUGGAAACCUGCCCUUGGGCCCGGAAUAGCUGUGGGAAACCGCAGGUAAUACCGGAUAAUGUCCCCGGACCAAAGGUGUGAUUCCUCCCAGGGAGGGUUCCGCGUCCUAUUAGCUUGUUGGUGGGGUAACGGCCUACCAAGGCGACGAUGGGUACCGGGUGNGAGAGCAUGACCCGGCUCACUGGGACUGAGACACUGCCCAGACACCUACGGGUGGCUGCAGUCGAGAAUCUUCGGCAAUGGACGCAAGUCUGACCGAGCGACGCCGCGUGCGGGAUGAAGGCCUUCGGGUUGUAAACCGCUGUCGGAGGGGAGGAAAUCCAUGAGGGCUAUCCUUCAUGGUUGACCUAUCCUCGGAGGAAGGACGGGCUAAGUUCGUGCCAGCAGCCGCGGUAACACGAACCGUCCGAACGUUAUUCGGAAUCAUUGGGCUUAAAGGGUGCGUAGGCGGCGCGAAAAGUUGGGUGUGAAAUCCCUCGGCUCAACCGAGGAACUGCGCCCAAUACUGUCGUGCUCGAGGGAGACAGANGUAAGCGGAACUGAUGGUGGAGCGGUGAAAUGCGUUUGAUAUCAUCA